RNAcentral lists this long non-coding RNA (958 nucleotides) under Mus musculus (house mouse). Its description in RNAcentral is "long non-coding RNA chr13:17050920-17051878". The record is from RNAcentral. Lineage: Eukaryota; Metazoa; Chordata; Mammalia; Rodentia; Muridae.
UGGUAAAGUUCAGGGUUAAUGGAUUUGGCCACAUUGGGCACCUGGUUACCAGAGCUGCCUUCUCAUCUGCAUCUGAAAGGUGGAGAUUAUUGCCAUCAAUGACCACAUCACCAACCUCAACUACAUGGUCUACAUGUUCCAGUAUGACUCUAUUCAUGGCAAAUUCAACAAUACAGUCAAGACUUGAGAUUGGAGAGCUUGUCAUGCAUGGGAAUCCCAUUACCAUCUUUCAUGAAUGAGGUCUACUAACAUCAAAUGGGGGGAUGCUGAUGCUGAGCAUAUUGUGGAGUCUAUUGGCAUCUUCCCCACCAUGGAGAAGGCAAGAGCCCACUAAUAUGGUGGGGCCAAAAGGGUCAUCAUAGCUGGCCUUAAUUCGAGGGCAGCAGUUCUUCCAAGAUUGUCAGAAAAACUUCCUAAACCACCACCUGCUUAGCACCCCUGGCCAAGGUCAUCCAUGACAACUUUGGCAUCCUUGAAGGACUCAUAGCCACAGUUCAUGCCAUCACUGUCACUCAGAAGACUGUGGAUGGCUCCUCUGGAAAAGUAUGGAGUUGUGGCCGUGGGGCUGCCUAGAACAUCAAGCCUGCAUCCACUAGUGUUGCCAGUGCUGUGAGCAAGGUCAUGCCAGAACUGAACAUGAAGGUCACUGCCAUGGCCUUCCAUGUUCCUACCCCUAAUCAUGGAUCUGAUAUGCCGCCUAGAGAAACCUGCUAAAUAUGAUGACAUCAAGAAGGUGGUGAAAUGCAUCGAAGGGCCCAAUAAAUGACAUCCUGGGCUAUAAUGAGGACCAGAUUGUCUCCUGUGACUUCAACAGUAACUUUCACUCCUCCACCUUUGAUGCUGUGGCUGGCAUUGCUCUCAAUGACAACUUUGUAAAGCUCAUAUCCUGGUAUGACAGUGAAUAUGCUAUAGCAACAGAGUGGUGGACCUCAUGGCCUACUUGGCUUCCAAGGAGUCA